CAGCACCUCAAGUGGUCAGGAUGAUUCUUGGGCCUAAAGCAUCCGUAGCCGGCGCUGUAAGUUUUCGGUUAAAUCUGUACGCUCAACGUACAGGCUGCCGGGAAUACUGCAGCGCUAGGGAGUGGGAGAGGUAGACGGUACUCGGUAGGAAGGGGUAAAAUCCUUUGAUCUAUUGAUGACCACCUGUGGCGAAGGCGGUCUACCAGAACACGUCCGACGGUGAGGGAUGAAAGCUGGGGGAGCAAACCGGAUUAGAUACCCGAGUAGUCC
RNAcentral lists this ribosomal RNA (270 nucleotides) under uncultured archaeon. RNAcentral's name for it is "partial 16S ribosomal RNA". It matches the Rfam family "Archaeal small subunit ribosomal RNA", at positions 477 to 747 of the family's 1478-position model. The record is from RNAcentral.